This 250-nucleotide long non-coding RNA is filed under the name Olea europaea (common olive). RNAcentral's name for it is "long non-coding RNA (OEUR_LNC005620)". Lineage: Eukaryota; Viridiplantae; Streptophyta; Magnoliopsida; Lamiales; Oleaceae. The record is from RNAcentral.
GUUUGUAAACCUUGUACUGAUAUUCUAUUACUGGUUUCUAGUGGAUUAGAGCAUUAACCAUUUUGGUGGAAGCUCAACGUGGUGACAUAGCCCAUUUUUGGGUGAACAUCCGGAUCUACGAGCAAAAAAUCCUUGUGUUCUUUUAUUUUUUCUGUGUUUUUCUUGGAUUAUUGGGAUUGCUAAUACCAACAGAAGUUUCUUUCCUCAUCAAAUUGUUUGUGUCAAAAGCAAGUAUUGGGUUAUGAAUUUG